AUUAGUCAGAAGAGUCAUUUCAAGAUUUGUUUGAGGAACAAGUAUACCGUUGUUCCAUUGACCUUAUUGUAAUUGGACCAAUUACUGAUCAGUCAAAAGUAAUAACAGCUAACUUGCUGCUUGAAAAGCUUUAUGCACCAGACAGAUGCUUCAAGAAAGAUGCUAUUCUAAUGGCUAUACGACCUUUGAAGAUUGGAGCUGAAUCAAGAACAAACCACUUCAUUCAAUAUCAACCAUCAAAAGGUAUUUUUAAGGAGCUUAAAGACGAGGUCAAUUCAAUAUUGGCAGAUAAUUGUAUCGUUUAUUCAGUUAAUCCAAAUGGUAAAGUUGAAGAAUGUGAUUUGUCUCAAGCUGUUGCAGUUCCAUUACCGAAAUUGAAUCAAUCUAGAGGUGUGCCACAAGAUGAAAACCCGUAUGGAAUACAAGUUUAUUGUAAUGAUGUUCCUUGUAUAUAUGAAUUUCGGCUAUUCCAAUACAUUGGAUGCCAUAGGAAUGAAUAAUACUUUUGUAAUUUAGUAUUGAUUUUUGAUAUUGAUUUGUUCAAGAUAGCUUAUUAUGACUGAA
Molecule: long non-coding RNA, 564 nt
Organism: Amphimedon queenslandica
Lineage: Eukaryota; Metazoa; Porifera; Demospongiae; Haplosclerida; Niphatidae
Exons: 3
Source: RefSeq, a predicted model, not a curated record